Long non-coding RNA from Perca fluviatilis (European perch), 181 nucleotides. RefSeq lists it as uncharacterized. The transcript has 2 exons. Lineage: Eukaryota; Metazoa; Chordata; Actinopteri; Perciformes; Percidae. The record is from RefSeq and is a predicted model, not a curated record.
GCUUUUGCUAUCUGCUGCCUGACCACGCCCACCUCACCUGUUGCCUAUAAAUUGAUUGUGAAGCCUUUGGCUCAUUCUUUGCUCACUCUGCCGGCACUCCAAUGCAACCUGUCACACAGUAACUGCAAUGAAUCCACGUCACUCUGAAUGAUAAAUAAAAUACCACUGGUGCUGCAUUGAA